RNAcentral lists this ribosomal RNA (440 nucleotides) under uncultured bacterium. RNAcentral's name for it is "partial 16S ribosomal RNA". It matches the Rfam family "Bacterial small subunit ribosomal RNA", at positions 338 to 795 of the family's 1533-position model. The record is from RNAcentral.
CCUACGGGUGGCAGCAGUGGGGAAUAUUGCACAAUGGGCGAAACCCUGAUGCAGCGACGCCGCGUGAGUGAAGAAGUAAUUCGUUAUGUAAAGCUCUAUCAGCAGGGAAGCAAAUGACGGUACCUGAGUAAGAAGCACCGGCUAACUACGUGCCAGCAGCCGCGGGAAUACGCCGGGGGCCAGCGUUAUCCGGAUUUACUGGGUGUAAAGGGAGCGUAGACGGCAGUGCAAUUCUGGAGUGAAAGGCGCGGGCUCAACCCCCGGACUGCUCUGGAAACUGUACGGCGGGAGUGUAGGAGAGGUAAGUGGAAUUCGUAGUGUAGCGGUGAAAUGCGUAGAUAUUAGGAGGAACACCAGUGGCGAAGGCGGCUUACUGGACUGUAACUGACGUUGAGGCUCGAAAGCGUGGGGAGCGAACAGGAUUAGAUACCCUUGUAGUC